RNAcentral lists this ribosomal RNA (720 nucleotides) under Triticum aestivum (bread wheat). RNAcentral's name for it is "partial small subunit ribosomal RNA". Lineage: Eukaryota; Viridiplantae; Streptophyta; Magnoliopsida; Poales; Poaceae. The record is from RNAcentral.
AUGAAUCCACCGGAAGAGAAGGCGGCAGAGACCGAGAAGGUGAACACGGAGCCGGACGGCGACACGCCGCCGUUGUCUGGGAAGAAGAGGAAACAGGGGGAGACCGCUAUUGUAGAAGACGAACUUUGCCGCUCAGCGCUGACCACGCCGCCGCCUGCUUCCCCACCGGGAUUGUCUGGCGGCUUUUUCGACCCGAAGCCACAGCACUCGCCUGUCCCAGACGCACACGACGGCGACAGCGCCGACUGGAAGGUCUCGCAGAAGGUACUAGAGUGCAUCGUCACGCCGUCGCGGGACGACAAGUUCGCGGCGUCGAAGCCCUCCGACGUCGUCGCGUCGACCUAUGUAGCAAUGCUCCAGGCCGCGAACUACGUGUCCUUCUCCUCCGGCUACGCGCUGGACCUGGACGAGAAGCUGGUGGCGCGGGAGCGCGACAAGGUGGCCCUGUUGGAGCAGCUGGACAAGGAGAAGGCGGCGAGGCAGGCCACCGAGGCGGAGCUGGAGAAGGCGAAGGCCGAGCUCGCGGCGGUGAAGCGGGCAACUCUGCAGAGCGCCAAGGCGACGGCGGUGCAGCAGUUCCUGGGGUCCGAGGAGUACAAGCGGCGGCUCGACGAGCACGCCGCGGCAGGGUACGAGAGCGGCGCGGAGGAGAUGAAGGGCGUCGUGCUCCGGCAUUACCCGCGCCUCGACGCCGCCAAGCUGGUCCUGCCGCUUGAUUAG